GUGCCAGCAGCCGCGGUAAUACAGAGGCCCCGAGCGUUAAUCGGAAUCACUGGGCUUAAAGGGUGCGUAGGCGGGUCAGUAAGCGCUUUGUGAAAUCCCACAGCUCAACUGUGGAACCGCAGGGCGAACUGCUGAUCUUGAGGAAGCUAGAGGCUGGUAGAACGAUAGGUGGAGCGGUGGAAUGCGUAGAGAUCUAUCGGAAUGCCGAAAGUGAAGACAGCCAGCUGGGGCUUUCCUGACGCUAAAGCACGAAAGCGUGGGGAGCAAACCGGAUUAGAUACCCUGGUAGUCC
This 292-nucleotide ribosomal RNA is filed under the name uncultured bacterium. RNAcentral describes it as "partial 16S ribosomal RNA". It matches the Rfam family "Bacterial small subunit ribosomal RNA", at positions 505 to 796 of the family's 1533-position model. The record is from RNAcentral.